Molecule: long non-coding RNA, 528 nt
Organism: Triticum aestivum (bread wheat)
Lineage: Eukaryota; Viridiplantae; Streptophyta; Magnoliopsida; Poales; Poaceae
Exons: 3
Source: RefSeq, a predicted model, not a curated record
ACACAUGAGCAGGGGUCCAUCCCUAUCCCCCACCGGAUCCAGUCGCACCCCCACUCAGCCGUCUUUUGCCCGAAUCCGAGUACUCUUUGGACCUGCGGCGGCUGCUUGAAUCCCCGGCGUAGCAGUGAUGGAAGAUGCCGGCCUUGAAUUCUUGCAGGAUACCGUCGACCGAUUUCUCGUCCAGGAGGAGUUUGUCGACAGCCUUGAACACCCAGAUCCAGUACCUCUUGCAUUGUUAACGCCUGACGAAGUGAAUCCAGCCGGCUAGGAAGCCCGGAAUGUUGCAUCUGGAUGCGGCAGCAAGUUGACGGUGGUGGCGCUGGUAGGCCGAGCUGCGGCGACCGACGGUAGCGGGAGAUAUCACCCACUGCGUCCGCGCAAUCUAUUGACAGGGCCCAAAAGGUACUACUUGGUAAGCUCAGAAAUUACAAGUCUCCAGGAGAAGCGCUCGGAUUUAGGUGUUAAGCCAAAGAACCACAAGGUCAGGCCAGGUUGACCGAGUUAGGUUGAAUAUUCAGUAUGUGCACA